This is a non-coding RNA of Stegodyphus mimosarum, 73 nucleotides long. The record is from Rfam. NCBI's taxonomy places the organism in Eukaryota, Metazoa, Arthropoda, Arachnida, Araneae, Eresidae.
GCCUUCGUGGUGUAGUGGUUAGCACGCUCGGCGCGUAUUCGAGAGGUCCGUGGUUCGAGUCCAGGCAAGGGCA